GGGUGAGAGGUGAUGCGUAGCCGAUUGAGGCGAAGAGAGUGAUCCCAUGCUGUCGAGAAAAGCCUCUAGCGAGUGCUGUUGCGGCCCGUACCCCAAACCGACACAGGUGGUCAGGUAGAGAAUACCGAGGCGAUCGAGCGAACUGUGGUUAAGGAAUUCGGCAAAAUACCUCCGUAACUUCGGGAGAAGGAGGGCCGGUUGUCUUGAGGCUCCUUGCGGGCUAGGGACGGCCGGUCGCAGAGACCAGGCCCAAGCGACUGUUUACUAAAAACACAGGUCCGUGCGAAGUCGCAAGACGAUGUAUACGGACUGACGCCUGCCCGGUGCUGGAACGUUAAGAGGACCUGUUAGCUCUUCGGGGCGAAGCGGAGAAUUUAAGCGCCAGUAAACGGCGGUGGUAACUAUAACCAUCCUAAGGUAGCGAAAUUCCUUGUCGGGUAAGUUCCGACCUGCACGAAUGGCGUAACGACUUGGGCGCUGUCUCGACCACAGACUCGGCGAAAUUGCACUACGAGUAAAGAUGCUCGUUACGCGCGGCAGGACGGAAAGACCCCGGGACCUUUACUAUAGCUUGGUAUUGAUGCUUGGUUCGGCUUGUGUAGGAUAGGUGGGAGACUGUGAAGCUAUCACGCCAGUGGUGGUGGAGUCGUUGUUGAAAUACCACUCUGGUCGAAUUGGGUGUCUUAACCUCGGGCCAUGAUCUGGUUCAGGGACAGUGCCUGGUGGGUAGUUUAACUGGGGCGGUUGCCUCCCAAAGAGUAACGGAGGCGCCCAAAGGUUCCCUCAGCCUGGUUGGCAAUCAGGUGUUGAGUGUAAGUGCACAAGGGAGCUUGACUGUGAGACUGACGGGUCGAGCAGGGACGAAAGUCGGGACUAGUGAUCCGGCACCACCUUGUGGAAGGGGUGUCGCUCAACGGAUAAAAGGUACCCCGGGGAUAACAGGCUGAUCUUGCCCAAGAGUCCAUAUCGACGGCAUGGUUUGGCACCUCGAUGUCGGCUCGUCGCAUCCUGGGGCUGGAGUAGGUCCCAAGGGUUGGGCUGUUCGCCCAUUAAAGCGGUACGCGAGCUGGGUUUAGAACGUCGUGAGACAGUUCGGUCCCUAUCCGCCGCGCGCGUUGGAGACUUGAGGAAGGCUGUCCCUAGUACGAGAGGACCGGGACGGACGAACCUCUGGUGUGCCAGUUGUCCCGCCAGGGGCACGGCUGGUUGGCUAUGUUCGGGAGGGAUAACCGCUGAAGGCAUCUAAGCGGGAAGCCUGUUCCAAGAUGAGGUCUCCCACCACCUUCGAGUGGGUAAGGCUCCCAGUAGAUGACUGGGUUGAUAGGCCGGAGAUGGAAGCCCUGUGAGGGGUGGAGUUGACCGGUACUAAUAGGCCGAGGGCUUGCCAC
Molecule: ribosomal RNA, 1388 nt
Filed under: Pseudonocardia autotrophica
Lineage: Bacteria; Bacillati; Actinomycetota; Actinomycetes; Pseudonocardiales; Pseudonocardiaceae
Description: bacterial LSU rRNA
Rfam family: Bacterial large subunit ribosomal RNA
Source: RNAcentral